UACGUAGGGGGCAAGCGUUGUCCGGAAUCAUUGGGCGGAAAGCGCGUGUAGGCGGUUCGGUAAGUCUGCUGUGAAAGUCCAGGGCUCAACCCUGGGAUGCCGGUGGAUACUGUCGGACUAGAGUACGGAAGAGGCGAGUGGAAUUCCCGGUGUAGCGGUGAAAUGCGCAGAUAUCGGGAGGAACACCAAUUUCGAAGGCAGCUCGCUGGGACGUUACUGACGCUGAGACGCGAAAGCGUGGGGAGCAAACAGG
Molecule: ribosomal RNA, 253 nt
Filed under: uncultured bacterium
Lineage: Bacteria
Description: partial 16S ribosomal RNA
Rfam family: Bacterial small subunit ribosomal RNA
Source: RNAcentral